Hippocampus zosterae (dwarf seahorse) is the source of this 3252-nucleotide RNA transcript. It is a transcript of the gene named prion protein a, with no coding region annotated. Lineage: Eukaryota; Metazoa; Chordata; Actinopteri; Syngnathiformes; Syngnathidae. The transcript is spliced from 3 exons. The record is from RefSeq and is a predicted model, not a curated record.
AAACACUCAUCACUCACUGCAACACGCAUGCACACACUUGGUGGUUUUCAGCUUCUGGAGGACGGAAACGUACUUUUGUUUUUUUUCUUUUUUCUUUUUUCCUAGAACGGCAACCAGGUGCACUACGGGACUUGAACGCAACAAUCUACAGUACCUUUACAAAAGAAGACAAAAUAGCAGCUGCUCUUGUUAAGCACCUCAUUGCAUGGGUACCUAAUUAAGUGUCCGGUCAACCAAUCAUGUCCAGUCUACAAAAAAUGCCCCUGACAGUGACAAUGUGUGUGCUGCUCUUAGCCACACUAACCCCCAGCACGGAUGCCCGGCGUGGCGGAGGCUUCAGGGGGGGAAGGGGGGGCUGGGGUGGCAGGAGGCCAGCCUACAGACCGGCCCCUCCCAGGAGCAAUGGCCCCAGUGCCGGUAAAGUUGCCGGGGCUGCGGCGGCGGGGGCCAUCGGAGGAGCCAUGCUGGGCUCCGCCCUGAGUCGCCCCGGGUACGGGUAUGGCGGAGGCUACGGAGGGUAUGGGGGCUACGGAGGGUAUGGGGGCUAUGGAGGAGGUUAUGGCUACCCACGCUACGGCGGUGGCUACGGAGCCAGGCCUGCGUAUGAGCCAGAGGGCUCUGGAGAUUUGGAGUACUACACCGGAGCAUCCAGCGGGCCCAUCUACAACAGCAUCAUUGUUGUGAUCGGUUCUCUGCUCUCUCUGCUGCUCGUCAUGUGAAACCAGGCUGAGGGUAGCACAAAGACGCACCUACGACACGACCCUUGGAACUUUUAUUGGGCCUCAUCUGCACUGAAACCACCCUUGAGGACAAGAAGUUGACCCAGGAACUAGUCUGUACCAGCAGCCUGUUCACAAUGGUGGAUGUUACAGAAGGAGACUAAAUAUUACUUGCAACCUUAACUAGCUUUGAUUUACUACACAAUAUAAUAUUUGUAAGAAGCUACAACUUUUGUAUUAUUAUUAUUAUUAAUUUAAAAUUGUACAACCCAUCAAUAUAACCGCACACAACUGUGUCUCAUACACAUGAGUGGUUCUGAGUCAUUUUCUAUUUAUUUUGAGCAGUUUAUAUUCUUGUGUGCAGAUGACUAUAGGCAAGUGUUUUGCUUUAAGCAACCAAUCGGGAAACGGAAUAGUGCUGAUGUCAUCGAAGAAAUAGUGUUGAUGUCAUCGAAGAAGCCCAGCAAUGAGAAACGACACCAAAUAACCUGGAUAGAUUGUUUGGACGAAAAAGGUUCUAAUACACUUAAAAUUGUAAACGUAGUAGGAAGUGCUUGUUUAAGACAGCAACAGCAUCGACUGUGUAUCGACACCAGGUAAACAUGCACAACCUGAAGGCACCACAACAAGUAAUCCUGCUUUGACAACCAUUUUGUUCACUGUCAGAAGAGUUCCGAUCAAUCUCAGUCAAUCUUAUUUGCACAUGGUGUACGUAAUGAAAUAUCCGCUGACUGUAAAUGCAGUAAUUGAAUUAGAUGUUAUGGAAUGAACCCUCAGUAGAUCUCAGGAUUGGAGGACUGAAAUGUGUUUAUGACUUUCAGCUUUUGUUCAGCCAAUGCUAAUGACAAAUGUGCUUUAAUCUUGUAUAUAGUUACGCAGUUAAAGCCAAAUUACAAUAAAUGACUAAUGAUGUGUGUAAAAGUGAACGUGAACGUGUGAAAUGUGAAGACAAUCAUGGUAAAUGCUGAUUGUGGUUGUAUUGUUUUUUCCUCAAAGCCGAAGGAGUCCAAAAUGUAGGCUCAGGACCAAAUUUGAUAUGCCGAGGCUGUGUUGUUCAUGACUUUGCUGUCAAGUCACUCGUAGAAAAGCUCGACACUCUAAAAGGCAUUACCACUCUGUUCAAGAGCAUUUCUAUGACUACCGGUAAUUAUCGUUCGGGGGUUUAAAGAAUGCAGUGGUCUUUGUUACCAGCAGAGGGAGCCACAUAUUUGCUCAUUUUUUUGGUUGCCUUGUAAAAUGAUUCUUUCUUACACCUUCACUCGCGCUACUGGUUGAUUAAUUUAGAACCCCUUUGAAGUGGAUUCAUCCAUACAUUUCCUCUAGCACUUUUCCUUCUUAGAUUCAUGGGUGAAGUGACUUAGUGGAAGAGCUUCACCCUGGUCACCAAGAUAAUAAUCACAUCCACGCCUAUGGGUGAUCUCGACUGUUCAACGCAAACGUUCAUAUUUCAUUCAUUUUUCAAACAUUGUGAACAGUUUUAAUUAACUGCUUCAUCAAAAAAAAAAAGAUAGAUAAAUAAAUAAAUACAAUGAACUCUUAAAGCCCGUUUUCAUGCUGUGGCAUGUUUGUAUGUCCCUCAUCAGCAAAAUUUAAGUAUUAGGACAGAUUGUGAGACAAGAAAAAUGGUGACCAUAGAUAGCUGCUGCCUUUCAGAAGUGGAGAUGCCACAGGCAUAAAACUCCUGGGUGACAUGCGUUGUGUUUAUAAAAAUGAAAAAUCAAUGAUAUAGUUUCAGGAAAGGGAGUUCCAACAAGUCUUUCAUGAUUACUUUUCCAGCAAACCAAACAAGAUAUCUGCCGGAUGACGAGAUGGGUUAAACACUGAGGAAAUACUUGGAACUACAGAGGAGCAGAUAGGCCACAGUGGAUGCUAAAACUUGAGACGUGUUUAUCUGCAACAUGUUUGAACUUGGAUUCAAAGCGCCGUUAUCUGAAGAUCUUCUGAGUUCAACCCAAGAACUUUGUUCAGUCAUUGAAACCAAGUUCAGUUUUUCAUCAUUUAAGGAAAAAGAAAUUAUCCCCUCGUGGGUCCACCUCUGAGUUCUUCCAAUAUUCCAUAUAAAAUCUCAUUGUAUGCUAUACAAUUACAAUUAAGGCGAUUCUGUUUCUGAUUCUGAAAAAGUCCCCAAUCAACUUAUAAAUUAUAUUGUGAUAAAAUGAUCCCCAAAAUACACAAGUUUGUAAAUUGUAGUUUCAUUAUUAUUAUUAUUAUUAUUAUUAUUAUUAUUGUUAUUAUUAUAUGACAUAAUUUACAUUGUGUUUGCGAAACUUUUUAUCUGGCUUUCUUAAAAAAAUACAACUUUUUGUUCCAAAAUAUUUUGAAUUUUUCAGGAAAAAUGGAAAUCGUCAGUAAUAAUUUUCCAGGGUCAAACAUAAACACGCGUGUUACUCUAGUAUCACUUUUUAUUUUCUUCUAUUAAAGUGACAUCUACUAUUCUUGAAUGCCAUGCUGGUGUACCGUACCAUUGACGCCUAUAUUUAAACUUUUACAGUUAUUUGCUCAAUACAUGAGUGUCUAAAAAUACGUUUCAAAA